This 654-nucleotide ribosomal RNA is filed under the name uncultured archaeon. RNAcentral's name for it is "bacterial SSU rRNA". It matches the Rfam family "Archaeal small subunit ribosomal RNA", at positions 508 to 1160 of the family's 1478-position model. The record is from RNAcentral.
GCCUAAAGCGUCCGUAGCCGGCUCUGUUAGUUUUCGGUUAAAUCCAUAUGCUCAACAUAUGGGCUGCCGGGAAUACUGCAAAGCUAGGGAGUGGGAGAGGUAGACGGUACUCUGUAGGAAGGGGUAAAAUCCUUUGAUCUAUAGAAGACCACCAGUGGCGAAGGCGGUCUACCAGAACACGUCCGACGGUGAGGGAUGAAAGCUGGGGGAGCAAACCGGAUUAGAUACCCGGGUAGUCCCAGCUGUAAACUAUGCAAACUCAGUGAUGCAUUGGCUUGUGGCCAGUGCAGUGCCGCAGAGAAGUCGUUAAGUUUGCCGCCUGGGAAGUACGUACGCAAGUAUGAAACUUAAAGGAAUUGGCGGGGGAGCACCACAAGGGGUGAAGCCUGCGGUUCAAUUGGAGUCAACGCCAGAAAUCUUACCCGGAGAGACAGCAGAAUGAAGGUCAAGCUGAAGACUUUACCAGACAAGCUGAGAAGUGGUGCAUGGCCGUCGCCAGCUCGUGCCGUGAGGUGUCCUGUUAAGUCAGGUAACGAGCGAGAUCCCUGCCUCUAGUUGCCACCAUUACUCUCAGGAGUAGUGGGGCGAAUUAGCGGGACUGCCGCAGUUAAUGCGGAGGAAGGAGGGGGCCACGGCAGGUCAGUAUGCCCCGAA